Long non-coding RNA from Pelobates fuscus (common spadefoot toad), 405 nucleotides. RefSeq lists it as uncharacterized. The record is from RefSeq and is a predicted model, not a curated record. Lineage: Eukaryota; Metazoa; Chordata; Amphibia; Anura; Pelobatidae. The transcript is spliced from 3 exons.
GGGUCACACAGGCCCAGUACCAUGCCAUACUAUAUGUCACAUGUCACUAAUUACUGUACCCCUAUCGGUUCUGGAAUGGGUCACACAGGCCCAGUACCAUGCCAUACUAUAUGUCACAUGUCACUAAGUUACCGUACCCCUAGCGGUUCUGGAAUGGGUCACGCAGGCCCAGUACCAUGUCAUACUACAUGUCACAUGUCACUAAGUUACUAUACCCUUAUCGGCUCUGGAAUGAGUCACGCAGGCCCAGUACCAUGUCAUACUAUAUGUCACAUGUCACUAAUUACCGUACCCCUAGCGGUUCUGGAAUGGGUCACACAGGCCCAGUACCAUGCCAUACUACAUGUCACAUGUCACUAAGUUACUGUACCCCUAUCAGUUCUGGAAUGGGUCACGCAGGCCCAG